UACGAAGGGGGCUAGCGUUGUUCGGAAUUACUGGGCGUAAAGCGCACGUAGGCGGAUAUUUAAGUCGGGGGUGAAAUCCCGGGGCUCAACCCCGGAACUGCCUUCGAUACUGGGUAUCUUGAGUUCGGGAGAGGUGAGUGGAACUGCGAGUGUAGAGGUGAAAUUCGUAGAUAUUCGCAAGAACACCAGUGGCGAAGGCGGCUCACUGGCCCGAUACUGACGCUGAGGCACGAAAGCGUGGGGAUCAAACAGG
RNAcentral lists this ribosomal RNA (253 nucleotides) under uncultured bacterium. Its description in RNAcentral is "partial 16S ribosomal RNA". It matches the Rfam family "Bacterial small subunit ribosomal RNA", at positions 524 to 776 of the family's 1533-position model. The record is from RNAcentral.